AACGAACGCUGGCGGCAGGCUUAACACAUGCAAGUCGAACGCAUGCCUUCGGGCAUGAGUGGCAGACGGGUGAGUAACGCGUGGGAACCUACCCCUUGGUACGGGAUAGCUCCGGGAAACUGGAGAUAAUACCGUAUGUGUCCUGAGGGACAAAGAUUCAUCGCCAAGGGAUGGGCCCGCGUCGGAUUAGCUAGUUGGUGGGGUAACGGCCUACCAAGGCGACGAUCCGUAGCUGGUCUAAGAGGAUGAUCAGCCACAUUGGGCCUGAGACACGGCCCAAACUCCUGCGGGGAGCAGCAGAGGGGAAUAGUGGACAAUGGGCGCAAGCCUGAUCCAGCCAGACCGCGUAUGUUAAGAAGACCUUCGGGUUGGGAAGCCCUUUUGUGGGGAAGGAAACGCAGCAGGUUAAUACCCCGCGGUUCUGACGGUACCCAAAGAAUAAGCACCGGCUAACUUCGUG
Molecule: ribosomal RNA, 460 nt
Filed under: uncultured bacterium
Lineage: Bacteria
Description: partial 16S ribosomal RNA
Rfam family: Bacterial small subunit ribosomal RNA
Source: RNAcentral